CGCUACCGCUAGCUCAUUCACCCAGCAAUAAUAGUUGUGUUUUUCCACAUUUAAAUACAUAAAAUCAGAGCCCCUAAUUCAAUUAAACAUCAUUUUUCUUUCCCCAGUUUUUCAAUUUCAGGUACCUUCUUUUUCUUCUUUUACAAUAUAUCUCUUCAAAUUUUAUUUAGUUUUAUACAAAAAUUCCCAAUCCGUAAUUGGUUAUUCCUUUUCAAGUUUAAUUUGGUAGUUGUUGCUUGUUUUGUUGAAAUUUAUUUAAAUUCCGGCGUAAGGGAUGUGGUUUUUUGCUUGUUCCUUUAUUUUCAUAGCAUCAAAUAUAGGAAAUUCGAUAAUUGAGAAUUUUUCGAAUACCAGUUCUGGUGAUUGAUAUAUCAAUAGGUUAAAAGGUGUUGGAAUUUGUUUUGAUGAUCUUUGCUAAAGCUCUCGUUUUUGGUUAAAGUAAAGAUAUUAUGCAAUGAUUUUCUGUUUGAAUUACGGUUUCUUUUUAAUGAUGAAUUACUUUUUUUUUUUUAAUUGUUAACGUUUGAGUUCCUAAAGCACUAAGGGUUCAUACUGUUAGGGGCUCUGAUUGGGAGCUGUUACAAUGUAUCGACCUGUGGCUACAGCUGCAGCCACGGGUGGAGUCCCAACUGACAAUGGGGACUAUGUUGUGACUUUGGAUCAAGUCCCACGGUGGAAUGAUGCAGA
This 687-nucleotide long non-coding RNA is filed under the name Gossypium barbadense (sea-island cotton). RNAcentral describes it as "long non-coding RNA (GBAR_LNC012389)". Lineage: Eukaryota; Viridiplantae; Streptophyta; Magnoliopsida; Malvales; Malvaceae. The record is from RNAcentral.